Molecule: ribosomal RNA, 582 nt
Filed under: Triticum aestivum (bread wheat)
Lineage: Eukaryota; Viridiplantae; Streptophyta; Magnoliopsida; Poales; Poaceae
Description: partial small subunit ribosomal RNA
Source: RNAcentral
AUGAACAAAUGGCUCAACGGGAAUUCGCCAAGUGUGCUGGCACCUGAUGUGUUUAAACUUGCUGGUUUCAAAAGAGUUACGGUUAAAGAGGGGCUACGCAACGGCAAAUGGAUGCAAGGGCUGCAGCGAUUGGACACGGAGAAACAGCUGAACCAGUUUGUGCACCUUUGGCAUGAGGUGCAAAUGAUAAACCUAUCAGUCAAGAGGGACACUGCCAUUUGGAACCUCACAACGUCGGCUGCCUACAGCGCAUGUUCAGCCUAUGAUGCACAAUUUUGCGCAAGAAUUGAAAAGCCUGGACUAGCACGAGUGUGGAAGAGCAAGAUGGAGGGGAAGGUCAAAUUCUACAUCUGGUUGUUGUUACAGAACAGAAAUUGGACGGCCGACUGCCUUCAGGCUAGAGGCUGGCCAAACAAUGACCAAUGCAAGCUCUGCGACCAAGAAGCUGAAACUGCCAGCCACAUAGCACUGAAAUGCUCAUAUGCAAGAGAGGUUUACUUCCAUUUUCGGCAGCAAAACAAUGCGGUGUGGACUACUACUGAUAUGGCACAAUCAGUCUCAGAAUGGUGGGAUCAGUGUUGA